CAACAAAAAGUGACCUCACCCAACAUCGCUUAGAGCCCCUUUAAAUAAUCCUGAUUUCAAUAUUGACCAAAAUAAUCGUGGUUAAGGUUUUUAUUCCAGAAUUGAGCAGCACCGUCCCGUCUCAAACACAAAUC
Sander lucioperca (pikeperch) is the source of this 134-nucleotide long non-coding RNA. RefSeq lists it as uncharacterized. The record is from RefSeq and is a predicted model, not a curated record. NCBI's taxonomy places the organism in Eukaryota, Metazoa, Chordata, Actinopteri, Perciformes, Percidae. The transcript has 3 exons.